Molecule: ribosomal RNA, 200 nt
Filed under: uncultured bacterium
Lineage: Bacteria
Description: partial 16S ribosomal RNA
Rfam family: Bacterial small subunit ribosomal RNA
Source: RNAcentral
UACGAGGGGUGCAAGCGUUGCUCGGAAUUAUUGGGCGUAAAGGGUAGGUAGGUGGUCUCAUUUGUCUGGGGUGAAAGCCUUGAGCUUAACUCAAGAAGUGCCCCGGAACGGUGAGACUCGAGUCCUGGAGAGGGUCGUGGAAUUCCCGGUGUAGCGGUGAAAUGCGUAGAGAUCGGGAGGAACACCAGGAGGCGAAGGCG